Molecule: long non-coding RNA, 429 nt
Organism: Gymnodraco acuticeps
Lineage: Eukaryota; Metazoa; Chordata; Actinopteri; Perciformes; Bathydraconidae
Exons: 3
Source: RefSeq, a predicted model, not a curated record
AUUCCGAGUGUGCUUGCUUUUCUCUUUGAAAGUCAUCACAUAACGGCAUUGUAAUACACGGUUCGGCUGCAUUAAAUAUUACAUAUCUGCCGUAAUUCUCUAUUUAUAGAGCCCUGCUGAGAAGACUUCUAGACAAACAGGAGAACUGCCGCCAAAACUGAAGAUGUGACGUGGGCUCUAACUCUAGGGCUCUGGGUGGCGGUAUGCACCUUUUAAGUUGUUUGCAAUCCGACAAAUCCGAGAGAAGAAGAGGUAGAAGAAGAGCAGCAUGGAGGAGAACAAGGAGACCCCUGGAGCUCAGAAACUGAAAAGAAGAGAGAGAUGUCACAGCUGUCAGCAAUGUGACAAAUCCUUUACAACAUCUGGAACUUUAAAUCGCCACCUGCAUAUUCACACUGGAGAAAAACCGUACAGCUGUGAAGAGUGUGG